Molecule: long non-coding RNA, 1697 nt
Organism: Carassius auratus (goldfish)
Lineage: Eukaryota; Metazoa; Chordata; Actinopteri; Cypriniformes; Cyprinidae
Source: Ensembl
AUCAUCACAAUAAUCCACAAAAUCUUGUACAGUGUGCCAGAAAAUGACGCUGUAGAAAUUGCUGGAACUGUUCUCUGUUGGCAGAGCCCUGAAUUGCCAUGUUUCAGAUCAGACUGCCUGCUGUUGAACGGUCGGAGAGCUUGGGUCAUUUUCCAAUCAAUCCUGACCCCCUCCUCCAGCACAUCUCAGUAUGGACAUCUGCGCUCCCCUCCGGACUGUUCGAGCAUCCUGGUGCCUCCGCAGCAUACUAACACCUUCCUGCUUUCUCAUCCAACAACCUCGUCAAGAGCUCUCAUGGCCAUCAGCAGAAAACUGUAUGACUUCUGCCUCUCAAACCUGCUCCCUCAAAGUGGGAUGGAAAUUCAAGUCUCUAUUCUUGUGAAAUAUGUGUACUUCAGUUGAUUGCAACAUUUGUUCUUAACACAAGACUUUGCUAGCUUUUAUUCAUUUAUGUUGUUUUGCAGUUUUAUAUGAAUCUCCUUAUUAUAUCCCAAAUUAACACCUAAUCUCAUACAUGCAUUUAUCUUAACUGACACAGUAGAGUCUUUAAAUAAAGAAGUCAUAUUUGAUACAUGAAGACUUCUUAAUUAUAGAUGAUGUAAACUUUGCUGAAAAAAAAGCAUUUAAUGUUUGUUUUACUGGUAUAAAGAUCGCAUUGAUUUACAUUACAAGCUAUUACUAAAAUUACAUAUUGUAAGGUUUUAUUGUUGUUGGUAUUAUUAUUUUAUAUACUUAUAUUAGUAUAUAUAAAUAUUAUUAAUUUAUAAUAGUAAAGAUAAUAGGUUAAUUAAUCUAUUUUUAUUUAAUUCAGUUUAAUUAGCUAUAUUAUUUCAUUUAUAUAUUUAUCUAUAUAAAAUGCCAUAUACUAAUAGAAAACGUUAAAAACAUAUAUUACUAGGUAUGGCUCAGUAGGUUCGUGAAAACUUGGUUUAAAUUAUUAACAUUAUAAAGUCUAUUGUCUGUGAAUGUGUUAUUUAUAAUAAAAAUUCAAUAAUUUAGCUGACCCUCCUGUUGUGUUUUUUUUUUUUUUUUUAGCACGGUACUAGUUUUUUGUUGGGGUCAAACUGAUUGCUUCCAUACAAUUGGUCAAAAAUCAUAACUAUGAACAUCAACAACAAAAUCCCCUUAAGAUUCAUGUAAAAACCAAACAGAAAACCUCUAUCAUAGCUGUCAGUCAGAGACCAAGAACUGACUGCAUUACUACUUGUUGUGACCAUUUGUACACCAAUUUAUUGCUAUCUUCCUCUACCUUUGUGUGUGUGUGUGUGUGUGUGUGUGUCUGCCUCUCCAACCUUUGUGAGGGAUAAAUGGGUUUCUCGCUUCUUUUCAGAAGUGCAGCAGACUAAUUGAGGUACUAAAAACAACCUUUCUUUGACCUUUAUUUAAAUUUCAUUUCAAUUUGCAUGGAAACCAAAAAGGGCCAAUGGAGGGGCCAAUUUGAGCUUAACAUAAAAAGAACUUGUACAACCUUUCCAAAACACAUUUAUGUGUUGAGACGUAGGCCUAUUUAUAACCAUAAAUGAGAAAUGUUCAAAGAAAAAUAAUAUGACCAUUAUUUUGAGCAAUUUGAAAAUUGAGCUGACCCCAACAAAACUAGGGGGUUAACUAACACAAUGCAUUUUAUAUUAUUUAUUUCAUAUAAUAUUCUCUAUUUAUAUUCAUUUAUACAAAUAUAUGUAAUGUACCCAAUGUGCCCA